CGGGGCGUAGCGCAGCUUGGUAGCGCACUUGCAUGGGGUGCAAGGGGUCGAAGGUUCAAAUCCUUUCGCCCCGACCA
Molecule: transfer RNA, 77 nt
Filed under: Methylotuvimicrobium buryatense
Lineage: Bacteria; Pseudomonadati; Pseudomonadota; Gammaproteobacteria; Methylococcales; Methylococcaceae
Also listed under: 10 other names
Description: Methylomicrobium buryatense tRNA-Pro
Rfam family: tRNA
About the family: Transfer RNA (tRNA) molecules are approximately 80 nucleotides in length. Their secondary structure includes four short double-helical elements and three loops (D, anti-codon, and T loops). Further hydrogen bonds mediate the characteristic L-shaped molecular structure. tRNAs have two regions of fundamental functional importance: the anti-codon, which is responsible for specific mRNA codon recognition, and the 3' end, to which the tRNAs corresponding amino acid is attached (by aminoacyl-tRNA synthetases). tRNAs cope with the degeneracy of the genetic code in two manners: having more than one tRNA (with a specific anti-codon) for a particular amino acid; and 'wobble' base-pairing, i.e. permitting non-standard base-pairing at the 3rd anti-codon position.
Source: RNAcentral